CCUACGGGAGGCAGCAGUGGGGAAUAUUGCACAAUGGGGGAAACCCUGAUGCAGCGACGCCGCGUGAAGGAAGAAGUAUUUCGGUAUGUAAACUUCUAUCAGCAGGGAAGAAAAUGACGGUACCUGACUAAGAAGCCCCGGCUAACUAAGUGCCAGCAGCCGCGGUAAUACGUAGGGGGCAAGCGUUAUCCGGAUUUACUGGGUGUAAAGGGAGCGUAGGCGGCGAUGCAAGUCAGAAGUGAAAGCCCGGGGCUCAACUCCGGGACUGCUUUUGAAACUGUAUGGCUAGAUUGCAGGAGAGGCAAGUGGAAUUCCUAGUGUAGCGGUGAAAUGCGUAGAUAUUAGGAGGAACACCAGUGGCGAAGGCGGCUUACUGGACUGUAACUGACGUUGAGGCUCGAAAGCGUGGGGAGCAAACAGGAUUAGAUACCCUAGUAGUC
This 440-nucleotide ribosomal RNA is filed under the name uncultured bacterium. RNAcentral's name for it is "partial 16S ribosomal RNA". It matches the Rfam family "Bacterial small subunit ribosomal RNA", at positions 338 to 795 of the family's 1533-position model. The record is from RNAcentral.